RNAcentral lists this ribosomal RNA (283 nucleotides) under uncultured bacterium. RNAcentral's name for it is "partial 16S ribosomal RNA". It matches the Rfam family "Bacterial small subunit ribosomal RNA", at positions 227 to 507 of the family's 1533-position model. The record is from RNAcentral.
AGGCUUGCGUCUGAUUAGCUAGUUGGUGUGGUAACGGCACACCAAGGCUACGAUCAGUAACUGGUCUGAGAGGAUGAUCAGUCACACUGGAACUGAGACACGGUCCAGACUCCUACGGGAGGCAGCAGUGAGGAAUAUUGGGCAAUGUCUCGAAAGAGUGACCCAGCAACGCCGCGUGGAGGAUGAAGGUAUUCUAUAUCGUAAACUCCUGUGAGAGCAGACGAAAGACAGAUUAUUAAUCUGGAUGACUGUAUGCUCAGAGGAAGCCCCGGCUAACUACGUG